CCUACGGGGCGCAGCAGUAGGGAAUUUUCGUCAAUGGGCGCAAGCCUGAACGAGCGAUGCCGCGGGAGUGAAGAAGGCCUUCGGGUCGUAAAGCUCUGUUGCGGGGGAAAAAAGGCAGCAUCAGGAAAUGGGUGCUGACUGAUGGUGCCCCGCCAGAAAGUCACGGCUAACUACGUGCCAGCAGCCGCGGUAAUACGUAGGGGGCAAGCGUUAUCCGGAUUUACUGGGUGUAAAGGGAGCGUAGGCGGCUUGGCAAGUCAGUAGUGAAAUCCAUGGGCUUAACCCAUGAACUGCUAUUGAAACUG
RNAcentral lists this ribosomal RNA (305 nucleotides) under uncultured bacterium. RNAcentral's name for it is "bacterial SSU rRNA". It matches the Rfam family "Bacterial small subunit ribosomal RNA", at positions 338 to 635 of the family's 1533-position model. The record is from RNAcentral.